UCAAAAACAUGUCUUUUUGAUAAUAAUUUAAAGUCUAAUCUGCCCACUGAUAUAAAUUAUUAAAGGGCUGCAGUAUAUUGACUGUACAAAGGUAGCAUAAUCAUUAGUCUUUUAAUUGAAGACUUGUAUGAAAGAUUUGAUGAAAUAUAAACUGUCUCUAAUUUAUAUAUAAAAAUUAAUUUUUUAGUUAAAAAGCUAAAAUAAUAUUAAAAGACGAGAAGACCCUAUAAAGUUUUAUAAUUUAUUUAUUUAAUAUAAAAUAUAUAAUUAAAUAUAAUAAUUAAAUAAAUUAUUUUGUUGGGGUGAUAGAAAAAUUAAAUAAACUUUUUUUAAAAAUAAACAUAUAUAAGUGAAAAAAUGAUCCAUUAUUAAUGAUUAAAAGAAAAAAUUACUUUAGGGAUAACAGCGUAAUAUUUUUUUUUAGUACAUAUAAAAAAAAAAGUUUGCGACCUCGAUGUUGGAUUAAGAUAAAAUUUAAAUGCAAAAGUUUAAAAUUUUGAUCUGUUCGAUCAUUAAAAUCUUACAUGAUCUGAGCU
This 536-nucleotide ribosomal RNA is filed under the name Dymasia dymas. RNAcentral's name for it is "partial 16S ribosomal RNA". The stretch from base 399 to 536 matches the Rfam family "Archaeal large subunit ribosomal RNA", at positions 2542 to 2680 of the family's 2987-position model. Lineage: Eukaryota; Metazoa; Arthropoda; Insecta; Lepidoptera; Nymphalidae. The record is from RNAcentral.